CGAGAGCGCGCGCUCUGGGACCCGAAAGAUGGUGAACUAUGCCCGGACAGGACGAAGCCAGAGGAAACUCUGGUGGAGGUCCGUAGCGGUUCUGACGUGCAAAUCGAUCGUCGGAUCUGGGUAUAGGGGCGAAAGACUAAUCGAACCGUCUAGUAGCUGGUUCCCUCCGAAGUUUCCCUCAGGAUAGCUGGCGCUCGGAGAGUCGGUCUCAUCCGGUAAAGCGAAUGAUUAGAGGCCUUGGGGCCGAAACGACCUCAACCUAUUCUCAAACUUUAAAUGGGUGAGAUGCCCGGCUUGCUUGACUGAAGCCCGGGCUGAGACGUGAGUGCCCAGUGGGCCACUUUUGGUAAGCAGAACUGGCGAUGCGGGAUGAACCGAACGCCGGGUUACGGCGCCCGAUGCGAGACGCUUAGCAGAACCCAUAAAAGGUGUUGGUUGCUAUAGACAGCAGGACGGUGGCCAUGGAAGUCGGAAUCCGCUAAGGAGUGUGUAACAACUCACCUGCCGAAGCAACUAGCCCUGAAAAUGGAUGGCGCUCCAGCGUCGAGCCCAUACCCGGCCCCCGCCGCAGCGAGCUUAGGCGGCGAG
This 588-nucleotide ribosomal RNA is filed under the name Lechytia hoffi. Its description in RNAcentral is "partial large subunit ribosomal RNA". It matches the Rfam family "Eukaryotic large subunit ribosomal RNA", at positions 795 to 1378 of the family's 3401-position model. The record is from RNAcentral. Lineage: Eukaryota; Metazoa; Arthropoda; Arachnida; Pseudoscorpiones; Lechytiidae.